Streptomyces sp. WAC00263 is the source of this 117-nucleotide non-coding RNA. NCBI's taxonomy places the organism in Bacteria, Bacillati, Actinomycetota, Actinomycetes, Kitasatosporales, Streptomycetaceae. The record is from Rfam.
GCGAGACAGGGGGGCCUGUGGGUGAGUGCGACCGAUAAACUGUUCUCGGACGACGCCGAGCGCAGCUCUCGUCCCGUCCACCAAUGAUCAGCCAGCAGCCGCUGCAACCACAGGGAG